RNAcentral lists this non-coding RNA (26 nucleotides) under Mus musculus (house mouse). The record is from RNAcentral. Lineage: Eukaryota; Metazoa; Chordata; Mammalia; Rodentia; Muridae.
CAGGGAGAGCUUCCCAUAGUUGGUGG